RNAcentral lists this ribosomal RNA (323 nucleotides) under uncultured bacterium. RNAcentral describes it as "bacterial SSU rRNA". It matches the Rfam family "Bacterial small subunit ribosomal RNA", at positions 27 to 327 of the family's 1533-position model. The record is from RNAcentral.
GAACGAACGCUGGCGGCGUGGAUUAGGCAUGCAAGUCGAACGCGAAAGAGGGGGUAACUCCUCGGAGUAGAGUGGCGAACGGGUGAGUAACACGUGAGAAACCUGCCUUCAGCAGGGGGAUAACGACUCCCAACGGGGUGACUAAUACCGCAUGAGACCACGGAUUCGCAUGGAUCUGGGGGUCAAAGGUGGCCUCUGCUUGCAAGCUACCGGCUGAAGAUGGUCUCGCGCCCAUUAGCUAGUUGGUGGGGUAAUGGCCUACCAAGGCGACGAUGGGGUAGCUGGUCUGAGAGGAUGGGUCAGCCACACUGGGACUGAGAUAC